Long non-coding RNA from Gorilla gorilla gorilla (western lowland gorilla), 1250 nucleotides. RefSeq lists it as uncharacterized. The record is from RefSeq and is a predicted model, not a curated record. Lineage: Eukaryota; Metazoa; Chordata; Mammalia; Primates; Hominidae. The transcript is spliced from 4 exons.
CCUUAUCUGCAGUUUGGCUUACCCACCAUCCAAAAAAAUUAAAUGGAAAAUUCUAGAAAUAAACAAUUCAUAAGUUUUUAGUCAUGUACCGUUCUGAGUGGCCUGGGGAAAUCUCCUGCACUCCUGCUCCACCUCGCCUUGGAUACAAAUCCUUCUUUUGUCCAGCAUAUCCACACUUUCUACCCACCCAUCUGUUAGUAACUUCAUAGCCGGCUCAAUUACCAGAUGGACUGCUGUGGUAUUGCAGUGCUUAUGUUCAAGUAACCCUUCUUUUACUUCAUCAUGUCCUCAAAGCACGAGAGUAGUGAUGCUGACAAUUUGGAUAUACCAAAGAGAAGCUGUAAAAUGCUUCCUUUCAGUGAAAAAGUGAAAGUUCUACAUUUAAUAAGGUGUCUCCUAAGAACAUUUGUUUCCCGAACCACAGAAACCAUUAUUCACUCAUUAACCAUUGGGAUUUUUGUUCAAAGGCCCAUGAAUUAUUGCUACUUUAAAUUUGCAAGCAAAUUUAUAAUUGGAUCCUGAUGUCCCAGCACCCAUAAAUAUUUUAUAAUAAUUGUACAAACAACAUUUACAUUAAGGACAUGAACGAUUAAAAUAGGGCGACCCCCAUCUCUACCAAAAAAGAGGAGGAAGAAGAAGAAGAAGAAGAAGAAGAAGAAGAAGAAGAAGAAGAAGAAGAAGAAGAAGAAGAAGAAGAAGAAGAAGGAAGAGGAGGAGGAGGAAGGGAGGAAGAAAAGAAAAAAUAUUAGCCCGUUGUGGUGGCACACACCUAUAGUCCCAGCUAUUUGGGGCGCUGAGUCCAGAAGACUCCUUGAGGCCAGGAGUUUGAGGCUGCAGUGAGCCACGAUUAUGCUACUGUGCUCCAGACUGUGAGACAGAGUGAUAUCUUACGUCAAAAAUAAAUAAAUAAAUAUUGGUGAAAAUAAAAUAGGAUAAAAUGGCAAGCCAUAUGAAACGGAAGUCUAGCACUUACAGAGAGAUGGUAAUAUUGUGAAGCAACAGUGUAUUGAAAUUAUGAAAUAAGAGUUUUUCAUGCAAAUGUGAGGAAUUUGCUGAGGACAAGUAAGAAGAAGGCCAAUUCCUAUUGUGCAAAUCCUCUGGUCACUGGCUUCAACUAAUAAGGACAAGCAAAGGCCCAGGAAGUCAUUUCCCUCCUACAAAGAUCAUUGCAAUGAAUGGGAACUGGUGCUUUCUGUGGCUCACGCCCAGUGGGUCUGAGGGGAAAUAGAAUUAAUAAAACUUUAAACACA